UACGAAGGGGGCUAGCGUUGUUCGGAUUUACUGGGCGUAAAGCGCACGUAGGCGGAUCGAUCAGUCAGGGGUGAAAUCCCAGAGCUCAACUCUGGAACUGCCUUUGAUACUGUCGAUCUGGAGUACGAAAGAGGGUCGCGGAAUUCCCGGUGUAGAGGUGAAAUUCGUAGAUAUCGGGAGGAACACCGGUGGCGAAGGCGGCGACCUGGGUCGAUACUGACGCUGGAGCGCGAAAGCGUGGGGAGCAAACAGG
RNAcentral lists this ribosomal RNA (253 nucleotides) under uncultured bacterium. RNAcentral describes it as "partial 16S ribosomal RNA". It matches the Rfam family "Bacterial small subunit ribosomal RNA", at positions 524 to 776 of the family's 1533-position model. The record is from RNAcentral.